Molecule: long non-coding RNA, 1310 nt
Organism: Triticum dicoccoides
Lineage: Eukaryota; Viridiplantae; Streptophyta; Magnoliopsida; Poales; Poaceae
Exons: 2
Source: RefSeq, a predicted model, not a curated record
UUAGAGUAUUAUAAAAGGUUUGGAAGCACCUGAAAUAUUGGAAGAAGCUAAGAAUCUUGCUGCAUCUGGUGUCGGUCACAGAAUUUUCUUCUGGUUCUUGCACGAGGUACUCACACAAUUGCCGCCGGUUCUCUGAUCCUUCUUAUUACAUAGUACACUACUACCUUCUUUACAUUCUUUUGCUUCUCUGGCCCAUCAUCUUUGGGUAUUUACAUGUAAACAGAAAGUGUCGAUGAGGCUGCUGCUACUCUCGCUUCACUUACUGAAUCUUGGCCUUGUGUUCAUCUUCUUGUACUGUCUUGGACAUCACGGACUCCAACCAUUUACGCACAUCUUUAUGAUGGUGUCCCGGAGGCGAUGGAGUCUGCAAAGGAAUUUUCCAUCAGGAUGAGAUAUGCGUCGUUUAUUCAUCUAGAUAACCCUCUUUUCACCACCCUAAAAUUUGUAGCAUACGCUGAUCACACAGAUACCAGAUGUGGUUUAUUCUUAGUUGUUAAUUGUUCUGAAAGUGAUGGAUCAAAUGCCUAUGAAGUUGUUUAUAUUCUUGCAUACUACAAGUAGUUGGGGGCCUGCUAAAUGUUAUGAGCAGGAGAAGGUUCUAUCUAGCAUUAGGGAGGGCUUUAUUUAUAAUCCUAAUAAGUAUUAUGUAAAGUUUUUUUUGUUUUUCUCUUUUGAUCUGAAUGGCAUGGAAAAUAUUGACUCAUUUCAUGUCGUCAUUUCAUUUCAUUUUUCUGUCUUGCUCUGUAAAACUUGCUUUUGUUAAUUAGGCCAAAGUUUUCACCCCUUUUAUAAAAGAAAACAAAUAACUUGAUGCUAACAUGCAUGGUGCUUAUGAGAGAAGACCCCACGCAAAUCGGCGACUGGUGUGUCAAGGUGACCAUCCACCAUUGCUUCUUCGACAGCAUGCGGCCGAUCCACCCACACCUGCGGUUCAGCAAGGUCCACCUCUACAACAAAACUACACCAGUGAUUGGGGCAUAUACGCUGUCUGCGACAGUGUCAAAGCUCAGAUUGUAUCCGGUGUAACAUAUACGAUAGACAGAAGAAGACUGCACCUGCAUCGUCAGACAAGAUGAGACGAGGAUGCUGCUGUAGGCUGCCGACAGAGAACAGAUGGUGGACGCGGGGGGGGGGGGGUUGUGGCAAGAGCAGGGCCUCUCGAGCAAGGCCACGGGAAUCUUCUUUGCCAUGGGCACCUAGGGCUGGUGUGCCAAGAUUGAGACAUCGGCACCCGUUGUCCACAUCGAUGCUGGCAAUGAAAAAAAAAUGCAUGGAUCUGCGCAACCAAAUUUGAUGCCCAUCAACAUCAG